Molecule: ribosomal RNA, 409 nt
Filed under: uncultured bacterium
Lineage: Bacteria
Description: bacterial SSU rRNA
Rfam family: Bacterial small subunit ribosomal RNA
Source: RNAcentral
UGGGGAAUAUUGCACAAUGGGCGAAAGCCUGAUGCAGCGACGCCGCGUGCGGGAUGACGGCCUUCGGGUUGUAAACCGCUUUCAGCUCUGACGAAGCUUUUGUGACGGUAGGAGCAGAAGAAGCACCGGCUAACUACGUGCCAGCAGCCGCGGUAAUACGUAGGGUGCGAGCGUUGUCCGGAAUUAUUGGGCGUAAAGAGCUUGUAGGCGGCUUGUCGCGUCUGCUGUGAAAUCCCGGGGCUUAACCCCGGGCUUGCAGUGGGUACGGGCAGGCUAGAGUGUGGUAGGGGAGACUGGAAUUCCUGGUGUAGCGGUGGAAUGCGCAGAUAUCAGGAGGAACACCGAUGGCGAAGGCAGGUCUCUGGGCCAUUACUGACGCUGAGAAGCGAAAGCGUGGGGAGCGAACAGG